GGGGCUUCUUUUGGGGGUGUACAGGUGGUGCAUGGCUGUCGUCAGCUCGUGUCGUGAGAUGUUGGGUUAAGUCCCGCAACGAGCGCAACCCUCGUUCUAUGUUGCCAGCACGUCCUUUCGGGGAUGGUGGGGACUCAUAGGAGACUGCCGGGGUCAACUCGGAGGAAGGUGGGGAUGACGUCAAGUCAUCAUGCCCCUUAUGUCCAGGGCUUCACGCAUGCUACAAUGGCCGGUACAAAGGGCUGCGAUCCCGUGAGGGGGAGCGAAUCCCAAAAAGCCGGUCUCAGUUCGGAUUGGGGUCUGCAACUCGACCCCAUGAAGUCGGAGUCGCUAGUAAUCGCAGAUCAGCAACGCUGCGGUGAAU
Molecule: ribosomal RNA, 364 nt
Filed under: uncultured bacterium
Lineage: Bacteria
Description: bacterial SSU rRNA
Rfam family: Bacterial small subunit ribosomal RNA
Source: RNAcentral